GACGAACGCUGGCGGCAGGCCUAACACAUGCAAGUCGAGCGGACCUUUCGGGGUCAGCGGCGGACGGGUGAGUAACGCGUGGGAAUAUGCCCUUCUCUACGGAAUAGUCCUGGGAAACUGGGGGUAAUACCGUAUACGCCCUUUGGGGGAAAGAUUUAUCGGGGAAGGAUUAGCCCGCGUUGGAUUAGGUAGUUGGUGGGGUAAUGGCCUACCAAGCCGACGAUCCAUAGCUGGUUUGAGAGGAUGAUCAGCCACACUGGGACUGAGACACGGCCCAGACUCCUACGGGAGGCAGCAGUGGGGAAUCUUAGACAAUGGGGGCAAUCCUGAUCGAGCCAUGCCGCGUGAGUGAUGAAGGCCUUAGGGUUGUAAAGCUCUUUCAGCUGGGAAGAUAAUGACGGUACCAGCAGAAGAAGCCCCGGCUAACUCCGUG
RNAcentral lists this ribosomal RNA (433 nucleotides) under uncultured bacterium. Its description in RNAcentral is "partial 16S ribosomal RNA". It matches the Rfam family "Bacterial small subunit ribosomal RNA", at positions 28 to 507 of the family's 1533-position model. The record is from RNAcentral.